RNAcentral lists this ribosomal RNA (850 nucleotides) under uncultured bacterium. Its description in RNAcentral is "bacterial SSU rRNA". It matches the Rfam family "Bacterial small subunit ribosomal RNA", at positions 28 to 882 of the family's 1533-position model. The record is from RNAcentral.
GAUGAACGCUGGCGGCGUGCCUAACACAUGCAAGUCGAGCGGACCAAUGCCCAUUUCAGCUUUGCUGAUUUGAGCAACGGUUAGCGGCGGACGGGUGAGUAACGCGUGGGCAACCUGCCCUGUGCAGGGGGAUAACACAGCGAAAGCUGUGCUAAUACCCCAUAAGACUACGCUACCGCAUGAUAGAGUAGUCAAAGCUUUAGCGGCACAGGAUGGGCCCGCGUCUGAUUAGCUAGUUGGUGGGGUAACGGCCUACCAAGGCGACGAUCAGUAGCCGACCUGAGAGGGUGAUCGGCCACACUGGAACUGAGACACGGUCCAGACUCCUACGGGAGGCAGCAGUGGGGAAUAUUGCACAAUGGGGGAAACCCUGAUGCAGCAACGCCGCGUGAGCGAAGAAGGCCUUCGGGUCGUAAAGCUCUGUCCUAAGGGAAGAAGUAUGACGGUACCUUAGGAGGAAGCCCCGGCUAACUACGUGCCAGCAGCCGCGGUAAUACGUAGGGGGCGAGCGUUAUCCGGAAUCACUGGGCGUAAAGGGUGCGUAGGCGGCCGAGUAAGCCAGAGGUGAAAGGCUACGGCUUAACCGUAGUAAGCCUUUGGAACUACUUGGCUUGAGUGCAGGAGAGGAGAGUGGAAUUCCUAGUGUAGCGGUGAAAUGCGUAGAUAUUAGGAGGAACACCAGUGGCGAAGGCGACUCUCUGGACUGUAACUGACGCUGAGCACGAAAGCGUGGGGAGCAAACAGGAUUAGAUACCCUGGUAGUCCACGCCGUAAACGAUGAGUGCUAGGUGUCGGGGGUUCACACCCUCGGUGCCGGAGUUAACGCAAUAAGCACUCCGCCUGGGGAGUA